Long non-coding RNA from Panicum virgatum (switchgrass), 5717 nucleotides. RefSeq lists it as uncharacterized. The transcript is spliced from 3 exons. The record is from RefSeq and is a predicted model, not a curated record. Lineage: Eukaryota; Viridiplantae; Streptophyta; Magnoliopsida; Poales; Poaceae.
AUAUCAGGAAUUGAAGAGCCAGCGGUGGACCAUUCAUUUUAUCUGCUCACCCUCUCUCAAGGGUUCUCUCUCCUCCGUCACUCCGUCAGGGGCAUCUGCUUCAAUCCCCCCACCACCGGCGUGCACAUCUGGUCUCCUGGAGGACAUUUUUGGGGGUUCAAGUCCAGAUCAGAGACCUAGUUCUGGAUCUGCUUGGCUUGGCUCCAGGAGCGCGCGGCCGCGAUACCGAGCUCACGGCGGACAACCGGCCAUGGCGGCGAGGGCGGGUGAUGCGGGAGGGGGCGACGCCGGGGAGCUAUCUCUCUCUCUCUAGGGCUCCUUUCUCUCUCCGCGCGUUCAGCUGCAACGCUCGCAUCCCCCUCGCCGGCGGCGUGCACUCCCGGAUGCUGCGCCCCCCCGGCUGUAUAGGGAUCGGCGGCGCAGAUUAGGCCCAGUUCGCAUGUGGAAUCCGGAGAGGGCAUCCGCUACGGUUGAUUUAGACAGAUCUGUUCAUACGUACCCCCCUCCCUCCCCCGUGCACUCCCAAAUGCUCUGCAUCGAGCUCGUCACAUUGAUUUCUGGGGGAUUUUCGUGGUUUGUUCUGGUUUUUGGGGAGGUCAGGGGAUAGGGAUUUCACGCUCGCGCACUAACCGUUGGGAAUCGUAGCACACAUCAAUCCUCUGCAUUGGCUGGGUGCAGAUGCAGAGGAUUUUUUUAGCAUAUACAUGUUCAUUGGGGUGUCAGGAACACACCCAUGCUCACAUCCUGUUGGUUUUUUCGCAUCAAUUAGCAGGGACUUUUACCGGUUUUUGUUUGCAUUUUAUUCACAUUUUUAUUCCACAAUCCAUGAGCGACUAGGGGGAUUUUUUGUUGCUUCACUUAGUUUCAGUUCAUGGAACAGUAUACCUAGUUGCUAGAUAUUAGGAUGUGUAGGUCAAGUAUGUGCCUCCACGCUAAUGAGCCAACAGUGCUUGAUUUUCAGUGGCACUUCCUCUGACAUUUAAACAUGCUAAUGAACAAGCUAGUGAACUAAUAUAUUUCAGUUACAAGUAGUUCUGCAUUUUAGGUCGAUAAGUUCAUCUAGUUGAACCAAUGCAAGCAGCAGCGAAAUACAGUAUAGAGUACGUAAUUAAGGUCAAGAACUAGCCCUUAUAGUUCUCUACUGUAUUCACCUAUUCUAACAUAAGGGCCAGCUCACUUCCAUAACACGCUUCACAUGUAAACAUGCAAACAUGCUAAUAAACUACAGUAAUUCAGUUAUUUUUUUUAGUUCAGUUUAGUCCUACAUUUUUUGGUGGAUAGGUUGAUCUAGUUGACCAGCACAGGCAGUAGGACUUGUAAAUAUAGUAGAGAACGGGUAUUUAAGAUCAGGAGCUGGCCCUCAUAGUUCAAUUAUUUUUUUCAUUCACCCCAUGUUUUUACUAAUGAUCAACACAUAAGUCAUCAGCAUCCGCAUUUGGAUUUGGGCUAGUCUUCGAUGUGGAGGAGAGGAACUUGAAGCAUAGAUUUUUCAAUGGGUUCAUGCCCUGCGCACCUAAAAUCCUUUGCAUCAGAUUCGUCGACUAACUUUUGGGUGUGGGACACUCACACUCACAUCCAGUUGAUUUUGCAGAGGUCUUGGCGUUCAGAGUGCGCCCGGCGGCGGCGCCAGUGCAGAAAGAAUUCAGCUUCGCCGGGUGGCUGCAAUCAGCUGAGUUUAUCAAGGUGGAUAGCAGCGGCUUGUCUUCUGGCUCUGACAAAGAUAUGAGCUGACUUGAAGAAGAAAUUAAAGAGGGCACGAGUCUGUGCAAUCAGCAGCUGUCUAGUGAUUGCAGAUUCAGACACUAACACAUCUGACAUCUCUUGAUUAUUAAUCUGCUCUUAGAUCAACUAAAAACAGAGUAAUGUGGUAUAUCAACCUCUCUUUUUUUUCUCCGCUUCUUGUUUUCUCAGUAGGCGACAAUACAUUUUAGUAUAUAGCAUUUUACUUCAUUAGGAAAUAAAAAUAAAUAGGAACUUUAGAAAUAAAUAUGCUUCUGCAUUAUCCAAAAAUAUAAUUCAUUAGGCAUUAAUAUGGUUCUGAUUAGGCAAUAAUAUGGUUCUUAACGCAAAAUAGUUUACUUCAUUGGGCAAUGUUUAAUUUAGAAUUUAAGAAUUCAUUUUCAUUGGUUGUCUAAAGUGCAAGGUAAUAUACAACUAUCAGCACUGGUAUUUAACAUAGAACCUAGUUCCUUAGCCUGACCACAUGGGAGUUAAUGCUAUGUGCGCAGUCAUCUUGAGAGUAUAUAUUCAAAAUUCAUUAGGCUAUAAUAGGCAGUUAUGUGGUUUUUAAUUAGGCAAUAAUAUGGCACUAAAAAAGUAAUAUAGUUUACUUCAUUAGGUAAUGUUAUUGGACAUGUAAUUAUCAGUAUUUUGUAUAGAGAUUGCAGAAUUCCCACUAGAUCUAAAAGCAAAAACUAUUGUUCAGUUUUUGAAGCAUGAUCUGAACUAUUAUCACAAAGAAAUAGGAGCAUUCCUACUAGAUCCCAUAUGUUGCUCUUUUCAUUAGACAUGUACUUCCUUUUUUCUGUAUUGGAUUGGGGGUAGGGGUAUCAGGCUCUAUGGCAAACAUUCAUGACAGCAUGGAUAAAUUUAAUUCACACUGUCAUAUUUUUAUUUUUCAAGGGCGCUUCCUAAUUUUUUUAAAAAAACUAAAAUCUAGUUGUUAGACUAUGUAGCCUUGUUUUCUUUUUCUAUACACAUUAUGCAGCUAGCAUACUCGGCUCUUUUUCUCUUAUUGUGGCAGUAUUUGUGCUAGAUCCUACAAUUUUUUAUGAUACAAGCAUCAUUGUUUUUUUAUUAGAUAAUAAUAUAUAUAGGAAUUAGCAAUAAUAUUGUUUCAGAUAGGCAACAAUAUGUGUUAAAAUAAGUAUUUUUUUGAUAAAAGGUUACAUGCGGAUUCUUAAUGCCGCUAGUAACAGGAACAACAACAGUUCGUUUAAUAUGUAUGUGCAAUAGGAUACUGAACUCAUUUUAGUUAGGUCUAGUAACAGAAACAACAACCGUUUGUUUAAUUAUUCAUUGGGAAAAAUAUACUACUAAAUUAGGCAACUUAUGCUACAUCAAUAAGCAAUUUAUCCACUGUAGUUCAACACUUCUAUAUUCUAGUUCUAGCAGUAUUUUCAUAUGUCGCUGAAUUUUGCUAUUUUGGUGUACUGAUUAAUUUCUAUAAAAAAGUCAGUUUGUAUUUGCUUUGCAAAAUGGUGGGGCCGCUGCGACGCGAGGCAGCUCGUGCAUCCACAUGCAGUAUGCCCUGAAAACCAAAUAUGUUCCUGUCAUUUCUAAUAUUUUCAUGCAUUUUCAUGUUGGUCUUUAGCAGAAGGCAAAUUUAUAUAUUUCGUUAGGCAAUAAUACUUGUUAGCAGAGGCAAAUUCAUGCAUCUGAUUAGACAACUUUAAUUUAUCAUACUUUUUUACAUCUAAAGCAUUUUACCCUGUUAUGCUAUUAUGUGAUUUCUGAAUUAGGCAAUAAUUAUUUCAGCAGAAGGCAAAUUUAUGUAUUACAUUAGGCAACUUCAUUGAAUAAUCCAUUAUUUUUGCCUACUUGUUUGUUUUAAAUUGCUCCUGAGUUUAUCAUAAUAUGCCUACAAGCAAGAAUGCUUAUUGUUAUAAAGUAUCAUCAAAACAUAUAUUUGAGCAAAAUGUUCUGUUCAUUCAUUAUGGGAGUUUAUCUAUGCUAAUACACCACUUUUAACUGUUCUCUAUCCUGAUACUAUGAAAUAAUAUGGUUCAUGAUAGGCAAAAUAGUGUACUUAAUUAGGUAAUCUUUUAUCGAGCAUUUCAUAAUUUUUCUUUUAUUGGCAGCCUUGAGUAAUAUGUUACAUACAACUACUAGUAUCUCUGCAGUUGACAAAAUGAGGAGAAGAUGCAGCUUCAUGGGUGAACAAGAACUGAAAUAACGCUAUACUUAGCUGCUAGUGUGUUUUGUAGGGUAGCAUCCUCUAGAUUGAUGCCUAAUUGGUCCCAAAUUCGAUUCUGAAUCCACAAUGUUUUAGUUUCACUACAAAGAUUCAAAAAGGGCUCUACAUGCCCUUCCUCAUCACCUAGUAAUGCAGCAUCAGCGCAUAUGUUGCUCUUUUCAUUAGACAUGUACUUCCUUUUUUCUGUAUUGGAUUGGGGGUAGGGGUAUCAGGCUCUUUGGCAAACAUUCAUGACAGCAUGGAUAAAUUUAAUUCACAAUGUCAUAUUUUUAUUUUUCAAGGGCGCUUCCUAAUUUUUUUUAAAAAAACUAAAAUCUAGUUGUUAGACUAUGCAGCCUUGUUUUCUUUUUCUAUACACAUUAUGCAGCUAGCCUACUCGGCUCUUUUCCUCUUAUUGUGGCAGUAUUUGUGCUAGAUCCUAUAAUUUUUUAUGAUACAAGCAUUAUUGGUUUUUUAUUAGGUAAUAAUAUAUAUAGGAAUUAGGUAAUAAUAUUGUUUCAGAUAGGCAACAAUAUGUGUUAUAAUAAGUAUUUUUUUAUAAAAGGUUACAUGCGGAUUCUUAAUGCCGCUAGUAAUAGGAACAACAACAGUUCGUUUAAUAUGUAUGUGCAAUAGGAUACUGAACUCAUUUUAGUUAGGUCUAGUAACAUAAACAACAGCCGUUUGUUUAAUUAUUCAUUGGGAAAAAUAUACUACUAAAUUAGGCAACUUAUGCUACAUCAAUAAGCAAUUUAUCCACUGUAGUUCAACACUUCUAUAUUCUGGUUCUAGCAGUCUUUUCAUAUGUCGCUGAAUUUUGCUAUUUUGGUGUACUGAUUAAUUUCUAUAAAAAAGUCAGUUUGUAUUUGCUUUGCAAAAUGGUGGGGCCGCUGCGACGCGAGGCAGCUCGUGCAUCCACAUGCAGUAUGCCCUGAAAACCAAAUCUGUUCCAGUCAUUUCUAAUAUUUUCAUGCAUUUUCAUGUUGGUCUUUAGCAGAAGGCAAAUUUAUAUAUUUCGUUAGGCAAUAAUACUUGUUAGCAGAGGCAAAUUCAUGCAUCUGAUUAGACAACUUUAAUUUAUCAUACUUUUUUACAUCUAAAGCAGUUUACCCUGUUAUGCUAUUAUGUGAUUUCUGAAUUAGGCAAUAAUUAUUUCAGCAGAAAGCAAAUUUAUGUAUUACAUUAGACAACUUCAUUGAAUAAUCCAUUAUUUUUGCCUGCUUGUUUGUUUUAAAUUGCUCCUGAGUUUAUUAUAAUAUGCCUACAAGCAAGAAUGCUUAUUGUUAUAAAGUAUCAUCAAAACAUAUAGUUGAGCAAAAUAUUCUAUUCAUUCAUCAUGGGAGUUUAUCAAAGCUAACACACCACUUUUAACUGUUCUCAAUCUUGAUACUAUGAAAUAAUAUGGUUCAUGAUAGGCAAAAUAGUGUACUUAAUUAGGUAAUCUUUUAUCGAGCAUUUCAUAAUUUUUCUUUUAUUGGCAGCCUUGAGUAAUAUGUUACAUACAACUACUAGUAUCUCUGCAGUUGACAAAAUGAGGAGAAGAUGCAGCUUCAUGGGUGAACAAGAACUGAAAUAACGCUAUACUUAGCUGCCAGUGUGUUUUGUAGGGUAGCAUCCUCUAGAUUGAUGCCUAAUUGGUCCCAAAUUCCAUUCUGAAUCCACAAUGUUUUAGUUUCACUACAAAGAUUCAAAAUAGGCUCUACAUGCCCUUCCUCAUCACCUUGUAAUGCAGCAUCAGCGCGACACUAUACAUUCAUAAGAGAAAUGUAACAAUUUUUAGGUUUGGCAAAUCAAUAUAUUAUCUGUGCAAUAUUUGUUGCUU